RNAcentral lists this ribosomal RNA (468 nucleotides) under uncultured bacterium. RNAcentral describes it as "partial 16S ribosomal RNA". It matches the Rfam family "Bacterial small subunit ribosomal RNA", at positions 28 to 507 of the family's 1533-position model. The record is from RNAcentral.
GACGAACGCUGGCGGCGUGCUUAACACAUGCAAGUCGAACGGAAAGGCCCUGCUUUUGUGGGGUGCUCGAGUGGCGAACGGGUGAGUAACACGUGAGUAACCUGCCCUUGACUUUGGGAUAACUUCAGGAAACUGGGGCUAAUACCGGAUAGGAGCUCCUGCUGCAUGGUGGGGGUUGGAAAGUUUCGGCGGUUGGGGAUGGAAUCGCGGCUUAUCAGCUUGUUGGUGGGGUAGUGGCUUACCAAGGCCUUGACGGGUAGCCGGCCUGAGAGGGUGACCGGCCAAAUUGGGACUGAGAUACGGCCCAGACUCCUACGGGAGGCAGCAGUGGGGAAUAUUGCACAAUGGGCGGAAGCCUGAUGCAGCAGCGCCGCGUGCGGGAUGACGGCCUUCGGGUUGUAAACCGCUUUCGCCUGUGACGAAGCGUGAGUGACGGUAAUGGGUAAAGAAGCACCGGCUAACUACGUG